Molecule: ribosomal RNA, 521 nt
Filed under: uncultured bacterium
Lineage: Bacteria
Description: bacterial SSU rRNA
Rfam family: Bacterial small subunit ribosomal RNA
Source: RNAcentral
GAGUUUGAUCCUGGCUCAGGAUGAACGCUGGCGGCGUGCUUAACACAUGCAAGUCGAACGGGAAUGCCACGCUGAUGCGAUUUCGGUCAAAUCAUGUGGCAUUCGAGUGGCGGACGGGUGAGUAACGCGUGGGUAACCUGCCUUACACAGGGGGAUAACACCUGGAAACAGGUGCUAAUACCGCAUAAGCGCACAGGGCCGCAUGGCCCGGUGUGAAAAACUCCGGUGGUGUAAGAUGGACCCGCGUCUGAUUAGCUUGUUGGCGGGGUAGGGGCCCACCAAGGCGACGAUCAGUAGCCGGCCUGAGAGGGUGGACGGCCACAUUGGGACUGAGACACGGCCCAAACUCCUACGGGAGGCAGCAGUGGGGGAUAUUGGACAAUGGGGGAAACCCUGAUCCAGCGACGCCGCGUGAGUGAAGAAGUAUUUCGGUAUGUAAAGCUCUGUCAGCAGGGAAGAAAGAAAUGACGGUACCUGACCAAGAAGCCCCGACUAACUACGUGCCAGCAGCCGCGGUAAUA